RNAcentral lists this transfer RNA (74 nucleotides) under Travancoriana schirnerae. RNAcentral's name for it is "tRNA-Val". Lineage: Eukaryota; Metazoa; Arthropoda; Malacostraca; Decapoda; Gecarcinucidae. The record is from RNAcentral.
CAAAGUAUAAUUAAUAGAGUUUAGUAUUUCACUUACAUUGAAAUGAAUUAUCGUGCAAAUCGAUUUGCUUUGAG